UACUGAUCCUGAUCUACUUCAAGUUGUUCAUGAAGUCUUUGCGAAAUUAGAUCCUACAUUAGAAGGUCUUAGUCAAUUUGGAAAUGAGAUUAUACUAUUCCGAGAUGCAAAAAGAGGAUUCGGUGAUCGAGCAGCGAUUGCUUCGAGGUCAGAAAUGGUUCCCGCUGAAUGGUGGUUCAUGUAUGGAAAUCACACUCCUACAUUAAGAAGGUUGGCCAUCAAGGUUUUAUCACAAACUGCAUCAUCUUCAGCUUGUGAGAGAAAUUGGAGCAUGUUUGCCUUAAUUCAUACAAAACAAAGAAAUCGGCUUGCUUACCCGAUGCUCCAACAAUUAGUUUUCUGUUAUUA
Molecule: long non-coding RNA, 348 nt
Organism: Vitis vinifera (wine grape)
Lineage: Eukaryota; Viridiplantae; Streptophyta; Magnoliopsida; Vitales; Vitaceae
Exons: 3
Source: RefSeq, a predicted model, not a curated record